This is a long non-coding RNA of Bombus pascuorum, 3353 nucleotides long. RefSeq lists it as uncharacterized. The transcript has 2 exons. The record is from RefSeq and is a predicted model, not a curated record. Lineage: Eukaryota; Metazoa; Arthropoda; Insecta; Hymenoptera; Apidae.
ACGCCUGUAUCUAUAUUUGCCGGAUCCCCGUCUAAGGUGUGUGAAUACUAAUACUUUACCGGCUAUUGUAAGUAUAUACAACACGGUUUUACUUAUUUACCCUACACAUGUGCACUUGAUAUGUGUAGAUACAGCACGCGUCUUAUUUACCGAGCGAUAAAGAGAGAAAGACUGAUCCAGAGAAAAAGAGAAACAGAGAGAUAGCGCCGCGACACGAGCUAUUUUUCAAACUCAAUGUACGUCUAAGCGAUGAUCAGUUUUAGCGACGAAAAGAGCGUUUGGUGGAAAAAAAUAUAUCUAUGAACAGCUCGAAAAAAAUUGGAUAUAAUCUAUCAAGAAUUCGUUUAAAGCUAUCGCUAUUGUGCUUUCUUCUCUUUUUUCGAAGCAAAGAGUACAAAUCCCAAAACAUCAGCGACAAUUAAUUUUAAUCGCUAAAAAUAAAAACAAGAAUCCAACGAUACCGAGUACUUACAAACGAAUCAGUUUAUCCCCUCGAUUUCUCAAGUGAAAACGAGUGAAUUUAGACGUCGAAACUAUUAUAAAACAAAGAUGAAUUUCAUUAGUGAUUAGCUUCACUUCACUGUUACAGUACACGAGAAUAGGCGCGAUCACAAACAGAAAUUCUGAAAUCUUUUGCUUCCGUGAAUAGUGCGACAUACGUUGUGAAUACACGCGCGAGAAACAUACCCCUCCGCCGCCGUUUCGCAUUGUCGAGCAUACAGGCCACGUUCUGUUUUCUUGUGCACAGUCGCAACACCACGGAUCAUUCCCUAGGAAUAAAGUCGUUCACAAGAUCGUGCCAAGAAACACUACCAAGAAACCGAUCGUUAUUUGUGAACAUUCACUUCGAUCAUGCUUAAACCGAUACUUUGUUCACGUUCGUUUGUAACGUAUCGAUAUUACCAGCGUUGAUAAUUAUUCAGAUCUUACGAAAAAUACGAAUACGAAUAUCACAUACGGUGAAAACAUAAACGCGCCAUCAAUUAUUCGUAAAUGUACCGCACGCGACAGUUUCGCGAUUUCUUAAAGAUACAUACAGCAACUCGAUCUACAUAGGCGUCAAUCGUAACAAGCAUCUAUCAACACCAGAAUCAAACGCAAAAGCUUUGCUUAAAAUGGAUAGAGGGAGCUGGCCGCAGUUGUCAACGGCGUACGUGAACAGAAGGCUGGUCGAUAUGGGGAGAAAAGAAUACUGAAAGUGACGAUUACCGAGUAACACAAUAUUCAUGGUACGUACUGGGAAGAACGAUUACUCCUUGCGUUCCUCUUCUUUUCUAUCUUGAACGAAAAAGAAGCACAAUGACACUUCAUUCACGAUAAUGGCAGAUGCGCACGACGGCCUGUCACGUGGUAAAGGGUAAAAAUUACCCAUUUGCACGUGUGCGCCUACUAACGUUUGUAUACAUGCUUAUACACGUGAAUCGCGCGUGCCAGUGUACGUAUCAGAGACGUGUGAAUGUAUCGCGUCGUUGAGUAUAUAUGAACGUAUAUGUGUAGGUAGAACGGUAAGUGUGCAAAAACGUUGCAACAACACGGCGCGUGGACGGUCGCGUCUGGACUGAUCGUGGGGGUCGAGCCACAGGUGUCAUCAGACGGCGGCUGCUCCACCCCUCUGCCCCCACUCGGCUUCCUCACCCGCCUUCGAUCCCCACUCUCGUCGUUACUUUCACGCACACGUCUACUCGUGCCGGAGGAGACGCGUGCGCACAUCAACCGGCUUCCUCUAUCCUCUAUAAUCAUGCAAUAUCAUUUGUUCUACCCAUGGCGCCUAUGAACUCACCGAACCGCGGCACGUGCUUUGCAUUCUAUCUUACAAAUGAUAUGGACAAGUUUUUCAAAUUGAUCUACAUCGCUAUUAGAAUUAAUAGGAAUCAUUAAGAACUUACCGUUUAAUUAUUCACCAUGCGUUUAGAAAUCUGUUUAAGCAUCGGUAAUUCGUCAGUAGCUUGAAAUAUUACAUAAGGUGAAAAUCAGUAGACAAUCAAGCUAUUGUGGAUCGAGCAUUACUUAUCGUACAUUGUAAGCACUUGAGAAAAGACGGAUAAUUGAAUUACCUGAAAAAUAUACACAAAAUUAUGACAGAAAUAGACGAAGAAUUUAAGCGGGAAAAUGAAGGAUGUUAAGUAUUAUUGAAUACAAAUGUUCGUAAUUCAAAUAGAUAUUUAUUCAAAAACCAGUGUAUUUCGUGGCAAAAUGUAUAACGUCAGUUAUUGAUGCAAUGCUCAUGACGUAUUCUCACUCACCCAGUCGCACUCAUACGAAUUCCUCCCUCUCUGUGAUUUAUACUCUUUACUACAUAUAUGUAUAUAUAUUUUUCUUUAUGUUUGCUUAUAGAAUAUUUAAUAUUUUCUUCUCUAUUUAUUCACCAUUUCUGUCUCAAUUCGUAUCUGUACACAUAGUAUCACUGAAUUUAUCCCUAACACAAUUUGAAGAACUGUAUUACAUACAUAAACAUAUGCAUGAAAUCAAUUUGAGACUAGUUAUCCGACACCAAGCGACUUAGUACCAAAAUAGUAACAUUUAUCUGGUAUCGGUAAUUUACAAUCGACGUACCAAAAUAAACACAAUGGGGUUUUAUCUACACGUAUUACCAUUCCUUGGUGUAAAAUUCCAUGUACCCAUACGUAUUUUAAACCAUACAUGUAAUUACUGAUAAUAGUUACAUAAUUGAACGACUUAUACAUUUCUUGCAUAUCGCGCGUAGGAUCAUUAUACGCAUUUGUAUUAACAAGAAUGAAUGCAAUGACGCUAUGCGUACAAUAUAUCAUUGUAAUGUUAGAAUUAUCGAUAGUCUAAUUACAUAUACAGUAUGUGAUAUGGGCGCUUAGCCACUGUUUCAGCUAUGCGGUACGUAAUUUCCCGCGCACCCAAAUGUUUGUUUUUAUAAACGAGCUAAUAAUACGAGUUUUCCUUUCUAAUUAGUAAAAGAAAUCGCACAACAAAUUACUCGUAUCGAUAUAUCGAAUUAAAAUUAAUUAUCUGUUGUAUAAUUGUUUUAGCGUUUCUUUGUACUAUUUUUAUAAAAAUAUUUACCGAUCUUUAACGGGAAAAAGUUUGUAAGUAGAACUAUUUUCUUAGUACUUACGAAGAGAAGGAGAAACUUAUCGAUUUCUCAUUGCUAGCAAAGUCAAACUCGUAUGAUUGGCUUCAAAACAAAUUGGCAACCUUUCGGUCGCCCUCGACUUCGUCGCGUGUCACUUGUGAGACUCGCACGACCGUCCUGGGAAACGGAAGCGCCACUCACUUCCUUCCUCACCCAAACAAUUUUUUUUCUUUUUCGUAAAAGAAUCUUAAGUAUGUGCAAAGUAUGUGCAGAUGAGAGAGAACCAGACUACGUUGUUGUGGAAAUUGUU